GCCCAUUUGUAUUUUCUUCACUACUCUCAAUGUGAAUCAAGUAAAGACAUCAGUAUUAAUCUGCCUGCUUAACACUGAUGUGUGUCAACAUGUUCAAGACCAAAGGCUGUAGUCACUGGAAACAUGGACUUGUUUUCAUCUCUAACUCUCCACCUCUCCACACUCAGCCUGCAGAGCCCGGCCAACAAUCAGUCAGUGACUGGAGUCACUGCGUAACAAGCUAAAUUCCCA
RNAcentral lists this long non-coding RNA (231 nucleotides) under Pongo abelii (Sumatran orangutan). Its description in RNAcentral is "lncRNA (ENSPPYG00000032527.1)". Lineage: Eukaryota; Metazoa; Chordata; Mammalia; Primates; Hominidae. The record is from RNAcentral.